RNAcentral lists this long non-coding RNA (1242 nucleotides) under Homo sapiens (human). RNAcentral's name for it is "HSALNT0344153". The record is from RNAcentral. Lineage: Eukaryota; Metazoa; Chordata; Mammalia; Primates; Hominidae.
AGUGUCUGCCUUCUUCCUUCCCUCUUGAGUGUUGCUCCUCUUCCUCUCCUUUUUUCCAUGUCUCUCCUUUUUCUGAUCUCCUCCCGUUUCGGCAGCCCGAGCGCUCUUGCCCGGUUGCACCCCGCAGCCUGAGCUGGGCUCCCGGUGCCGGCUGCCUGAGCUCCAGGACCUGCCCUGGGGCCCCCUACAACCUUCCCGCCGCUCCCGGAACCUGACCCCUCUGUGCUUCACUUCUCGGUUUUCUUCCCUGAAAUAAGCAGCAGCGAAUCCCUUCUCCAGGUUUUCUCAUGUGUUCAGUCUGCAAGGCUUCUCCCUUUCUCCACCCUGCGCCUCGGUUUCUCCCCCGCUUCCCCGCCCUCCCUAAACUCAGCCAAGUGGAACAGAUCUCCCAGCAAAACAAGGCAGAGGGCGAGGAUAAAAAUGAUAAAUGUCAAUAUCAACAUUUUUAUUGCUUUAGGUUUUUAAAACAGAAAAUUAGCAGGAACGCCCAGAUCGACCCAGACCUAGGAUCAAGAUGGAGUUUCUUAAAGUACCAAGUGAGACUGCAGUGACAAAGUCGAUUAUCCCAGCAAUAUAAUCAGCUUUGCCUGGGGAAUUUACUUUUACUUUGUUUUUAUUUGUUUGUUUGCUUUGAGAUGGAGUCUCGCUCUGUCGCCCAGGCUAGAGUGCAGUGGCGCGAUCUCAGCUCACUGCAACCUCCGUCUCCUGGGUUCAAGCAAUUCUCCUGCCUCAGCCUCCCAAAUAGCUGGGAGUACAGGCGCCCACCACCAUGCCCAGCUAAUUUUUGCAUUUUUAGUAGAGACGGGGUUUCUCCAUGUUGGUCAGGCUGGUCUCGAAUUCCUGACCUCAGGUGAUCCGCCCGCUUCGACCUCCCAAAGUGCUGGGAUUACAGGCGUGAGCCACUGCGCCCGGCCUACUUUUAGUUUAUGCAGUAUUCUGGCGAUUUAAAGUUUGUAUUUUUUUUUUAAUUUUCUGAGCUCGUUUUGUAAAUGGCUGCUCUUGAACGUAAGGAUAAAUUGACUGAUGAGGCUGAGGUUUGGAGCCAAUCCCCGCACAAGGCAUUUGGCAUCAAACACGAGAAACCCUUGGCUAUUCAAAUGAGGAAACUCAAGUAACUUUCCCAGGGUCACUAAAGUCGGAGACCUCAAACGUGGACCCAGGUCAGGCUCCAGAGGUCCACCAGGACGACCCAUCAUGGCUCAUGAAUGUAUCCGUAAAAAUGGCAGAACUGCUCUUUCCAGC